UUUUUUUAAAUAAAGCAAUUUUUGUCAAAAGAAAAUAAUUUUUUACAGUAAUCUUACCAAAGUAAGUGAAGAAGCAAGUUGUUUAUGCAAUGCUAGCCAGUGACUUUUGUGCAUACUCAGGUAGGCACCUUCAGUCUGGAAAAAAUGCAGCUGUCUCCUUGCAAUCUCUAAUUGUCUCAUCACUAGUCAUUCCCAGUUUCCACAGAACACCAGGAACAGGGUGGGAAUUGUGAAUGCUUGCAUUGGCAUUUCCCUUUCUGCUGCAUCAAAGGUCACCACUGCCUUGCUGGGGGUUACUGUCUCUCCCCUGGGCUAGAUGAGAUGAAGCUGGGAGGAUUGUCUAGCCCAUGUCAGGCAGAAAGAGAUGGGUAAGCAAUAAUUCACUGUUUAAACAGGCUUUAAGCAAGUUGGCUCAUUUUAAGCGCAAUUCUAGCAAUAGUUCAGCCAGAAAAUCAGGAGUGGGAGGGUGUGUAUAACCUCUAGGAAGAGGGUGGUGACAAGUAGCUGGCUGAGGGCUGCAUAUGGAAACCACUUCUAGUGGCACAGCAGCAGCCAAAGAAGUAUGACUAUAUUGACUGCUAGCACUGCUGGCAGCUUGCUGCUGGCUUUAUCUGGAUGGAAAUUGUCUAGAUCUCUCACUCAAAAAAUGUCUGUCACUGUAAAAAUGGGGAAGGGAAUAGAAUUUCUAAUAUUCAUCGGGUAUCUUGUAUCUAUCACACAAAAAAAAAAAAAAGAGAAGGAAGGAAACUUUCUUAAUCAAAAGGAAUAAAGUAAGGGCAAAUGUAGGCAGGAGAUCAAAAGGUAUCUCUGCCAGUGAAAUCCAUUAGCCUUGAAGUAAUCUCCUAAGGGAACUGAAGACAUUCCCAUUGCUUGAGAUAUUUAAAACUAGGUUAGACAAAACACUAGGAAGUGUACAAUGGAGGACAAUCCAUAAUCAGCAGGAAAAGGGAUUAAAUAGUCUUAAUAAGCCUUUAACAUACAUUCUGUGAUUUCAGUGCCAAGACUUCACAUGUCCCUCUGCUCUGUCUCCUCCCUGCAGCUGCCAUAAUGGGAGAUUAUGAAAUCACUGUAAAUGUGAGCAAUUAACUAUUGUAAUAGAAUUUGAUAAUGUAAUGGUGCUGAAUUUUUAUUCCUCUUAGUCUCAACUAAGACUCCUUUUAUGGUGGAUUUAAGUUGAUUUUUUUGUAGAGCUAUUGCAAUCUUCCAGUACAGAGAUUUAGAGUGAUGUGUUUCUAAUAAUUGUUUUGGGUUUCAAGCAGUGAUUUUGUUUUUAGUUAAACAUGUCCUUUUUCCCCCCUAAAUUUCAAAAUUCCUAAGUAGUUUAUCUAAAAAUCCCAUCUUUUACUUCUGUGUUUAAUCACUCAUCAUUAUCCCACAUCCUUCUAAAUGUUUCGUCUUUUGAGAGCUCAGAAGUGCCAAGAGGCUUGUCUUAGUAAAUCAGCAGGUGAAAGAUGUGCUUUGUGGCAUAAAGAUGAGUUAGUAUUUAUAUCUCUGUUCUGUAAAUGCUAGGUCACUGUGGAAGUAUUCAGAUUGACAAUGUAUGUUUAUAAACACUGUCUAAGAAGAAUUUAUUGCUUCUCAAAUACCACUGUUUGCUAUGAUCUCUGACAAUUUUUCACAUUUCCUGUUGUGUUGGUUUGAUACUGUGUCCUUAGGUCCAGAUGACUGCUUGAAUCAUGUUCACACUGAAAUAUGGGGUAUUUUGUUUAGUUUCACCAGGGGAGAGGCCAGCACUGUGGUUUAGAGAGGUCCUACCAGGGGAGACAGCUCAGUGAAAUCAAGCUUCAUGCUUAAGUGGUGCUUGCAGCAGCAGAUUCUCUUCUGUGCCAUCAUUUUCAGUGAGAUUGAGCAAAUGGUUACCUGCAAAACCUUGAAGUGGUACACACAUAAAUCUAGAAGAAGCCCUGACCAUAAUUUCAAGAUCCAGAUUGAAUUUUCUGUACGUAACAUCAUUAGGAAGAAAGCUUUAUGCUAGGUUCUCAGGCAUGGAAGCAGAGGAUUUUCUACUUGUCUUAGCAAAAUGAAUGCUGUUUUUUUCCCAGAUAAAGCAAUUACUAGAGAAUAAACAUCAAUGCACAACA
Passer domesticus (house sparrow) is the source of this 2081-nucleotide long non-coding RNA. RefSeq lists it as uncharacterized. NCBI's taxonomy places the organism in Eukaryota, Metazoa, Chordata, Aves, Passeriformes, Passeridae. The record is from RefSeq and is a predicted model, not a curated record. The transcript is spliced from 3 exons.